This 74-nucleotide transfer RNA is filed under the name Candidatus Azosocius agrarius. RNAcentral describes it as "tRNA-Ile". It matches the Rfam family "tRNA". Rfam says of the family: Transfer RNA (tRNA) molecules are approximately 80 nucleotides in length. Their secondary structure includes four short double-helical elements and three loops (D, anti-codon, and T loops). Lineage: Bacteria; Pseudomonadati; Pseudomonadota; Gammaproteobacteria; Candidatus Azoamicaceae. The record is from RNAcentral.
GGGCUUGUAGCUCAGUUGGUUAGAGCAGGGGACUCAUAAUCCCUUGGUCGUAGGUUCGAUUCCUACCGGGCCCA